GCAGUUGGCGUCGGAUGGGACGCCGGUUCGGCCGGCGGAGGCCGCUUGGCGCACGGGGACCGGCGGUCGAAGCUCCGUCGACCGGCUGCUCCCUCGCCUAUAAAUAGGCCUCCGUUUCCGUUGUCGAAGGGGCACACCGGAGAAGAUCGCGAGCUUGGAAACUUCCUCCUGAGAGACUUCGGAGGAGGUUGAAGAGCGAGCGAGAGAGAGGCCUGCGAGCUCCGAGAGAUCCCCUGAGAGACUUCGGGGAACUCAAAGAGCGAGCAAGGGCAAAGCGGUCGGGUCGCGAGCUCAACGACCUCCCUCCGAGAGACUUCGGGGGAGGCCGGCGGCGAGCGAACCCAGAUCUGCGAGGAGCGAGAGCAGAGAGAGGAGAGAGAUCGAAGCCGCGAGCAUUCAAGCUUCCCCCGAGAGACUUCAGGGGAGGUUCGACGCUCGCGAGCCCAGAUCAAAGGGAGGGAGCAGAGUUUGGGCACCCUCUGCCGUAGCCGCCGCCGUCGCCACCAUUCGCCGUUCAAGCUGCCGUUCACGGACAGGUAAAGUACCGCCACACCACGUCCUCCUGCCGCUACCGCCCUCCGUUCGUGUCACUGCCGUCGCCGCCGCUGCCGCUGGGACGCCCCGUCCCCUUCCCUCAGCGCCGCGAAUCGGGAACCCUAGGGUUCCCGAUUUUCCGGGUCGUGGCCUCGGGUCAUCGGAUCGGACCCGGGCCACGAACCGGGUAGGGUUUCCGCGUUCUGAGGUCAGGCUGAAAUCGGGUCAAAAGCCGGGUCGGACCCGGGUAGGGUUCCGCUAGGAGCCCGUGUCGUCGGGCCGGGCCGGGCGUCCCCGAACGCCCAGCCACGGCGUCGUUUUUGAUUAAAAAAAAAAAG
Molecule: long non-coding RNA, 872 nt
Filed under: Eucalyptus grandis
Lineage: Eukaryota; Viridiplantae; Streptophyta; Magnoliopsida; Myrtales; Myrtaceae
Description: long non-coding RNA (EGRA_LNC002718)
Source: RNAcentral